UCCGGUUUGAAACCGGCGGUCCCGGUAGACAUAGUAACUACCAGCGAGGGUUGCGCUCGUUGCGGGACUUAACCCAACACCUCACGGCACGAGCUGACGACAGCCAUGCAGCACCUGUGCACCCUCUCGAUUCGACGAGUCGUCCCCCUUUCAGGGUUCUACUUGGUGCAUGUCAAGCCUAGGUGAGGUUCUUCGCGUUGCAUCGAAUUAAACCACACGCUCCGCUGCUUGUGCGGGCCCCCGUCAAUUCCUUUGAGUUUCAGCCUUGCGGCCGUACUCCCCAGGUGGAUUACUUAACGCUUUCGCUUGGACGCUGGACGGUGGGGAUGACGUGUACACCUGAAC
This 345-nucleotide unclassified non-coding RNA is filed under the name uncultured Chloroflexota bacterium. RNAcentral's name for it is "uncultured Chloroflexi bacterium contains 16S-23S intergenic spacer region". The record is from RNAcentral. Lineage: Bacteria; Bacillati; Chloroflexota.